RNAcentral lists this ribosomal RNA (460 nucleotides) under uncultured bacterium. RNAcentral describes it as "partial 16S ribosomal RNA". It matches the Rfam family "Bacterial small subunit ribosomal RNA", at positions 338 to 795 of the family's 1533-position model. The record is from RNAcentral.
CCUACGGGCGGUAGCAGUGAGGAAUAUUGGUCAAUGGACGAGAGUCUGAACCAGCCAAGUAGCGUGAAGGAUGACUGCCCUAUGGGUUGUAAACUUCUUUUAUAUGGGAAUAAAAUGUUCCACGUGUGGGAUUUUGUAUGUACCAUAUGAAUAAGGAUCGGCUAACUCCGUGCCAGCAGCCGCGGUAAUACGGAGGAUCCGAGCGUUAUCCGGAUUUAUUGGGUUUAAAGGGAGCGUAGGUGGAUUGUUAAGUCAGUUGUGAAAGUUUGCGGCUCAACCGUAAAAUUGCAGUUGAAACUGGCAGUCUUGAGUACAGUAGAGGUAGGCGGAAUUCGUGGUGUAGCGGUGAAAUGCUUAGAUAUCACGAAGAACUCCGAUUGCGAAGGCAGUUCACUGGACUGCAACUGACACUGAGGCUCGAAAGUGUGGGUAUCAAACAGGAUUAGAUACCCUAGUAGUC